This 1153-nucleotide ribosomal RNA is filed under the name uncultured bacterium. RNAcentral's name for it is "bacterial SSU rRNA". It matches the Rfam family "Bacterial small subunit ribosomal RNA", at positions 8 to 1164 of the family's 1533-position model. The record is from RNAcentral.
AGAGUUUGAUCCUGGCUCAGGAUGAACGCUAGCGGCAGGCCUAACACAUGCAAGUCGAGGGGUAAGGUCUCUUCGGAGAUACACGACCGGCGCACGGGUGAGUAACGCGUUUGCAACCUACCUUCAACAGGAAGAUAGCUCCCGGAAACGGGAAUUAAUAUUCCAUAAUAUUUUUUUAUGGCAUCAUAGAAAAAUUAAAGCUCAGGCGGUUGAAGAUGGGCAUGCGUGACAUUAGCUAGUUGGUAAGGUAACGGCUUACCAAGGCUACGAUGUCUAGGGGGUCUGAGAGGAUGAUCCCCCACACUGGUACUGAGACACGGACCAGACUCCUACGGGAGGCAGCAGUGAGGAAUAUUGGGCAAUGGACGCAAGUCUGACCCAGCCAUGCCGCGUGCAGGAUGACUGCCCUAUGGGUUGUAAACUGCUUUUCUGCAGGAAGAAACUUCCCGACGUGUCGGGACUUGACGGUACUGCAGGAAUAAGCAUCGGCUAACUCCGUGCCAGCAGCCGCGGUAAUACGGAGGAUGCAAGCGUUAUCCGGAUUUAUUGGGUUUAAAGGGUGCGUAGGCGGGAAAUUAAGUCAGUGGUGAAAUCCUGCAGCUUAACUGUAGAACUGCCAUUGAUACUGGUUUUCUUGAGUAUAGUUGAAGUGGGCGGAAUGUGUAUUGUAGCGGUGAAAUGCUUAGAUAUUACACAGAACACCUAUUGCGAAGGCAGCUCACAUAAACUAAUACUGACGCUGAGGCACGAAAGCGUGGGGAGCAAACAGGAUUAGAUACCCUGGUAGUCCACGCCGUAAACGUUGAUUACUCGAUGUGUGCGAUACACCGUACGCGUCUGAGCGAAAGCAUUAAGUAAUCCACCUGGGGAGUACGAUCGCAAGAUUGAAACUCAAAGGAAUUGACGGGGGCCCGCACAAGCGGAGGAACAUGUGGUUUAAUUCGAUGAUACGCGAGGAACCUUACCUGGGCUUAAAUGUAGACUGAUUUCCACCGAAAGGUGGUUUCCCUUCGGGGCAGACUGCAAGGUGCUGCAUGGUUGUCGUCAGCUUGUGCCGUGAGGUGUCGGGUUAAGUCCCAUAACGAGCGCAACCCCUAUCGUUAGUUGCCAGCGAGUAAUGUCGGGGACUCUAGCGAAACUGCCGGUGUAAACC